RNAcentral lists this ribosomal RNA (253 nucleotides) under uncultured bacterium. Its description in RNAcentral is "partial 16S ribosomal RNA". It matches the Rfam family "Bacterial small subunit ribosomal RNA", at positions 524 to 776 of the family's 1533-position model. The record is from RNAcentral.
UACGUAGGGUGCGAGCGUUGUCCGGAAUUAUUGGGCGUAAAGAGCUCGUAGGCGGUUUGUCGCGUCGACUGUGAAAACCCGAGGCUUAACCUCGGGCCUGCAGUCGAUACGGGCAGACUAGAGUUCGGUAGGGGAGACUGGAAUUCCCGGUGUAGCGGUGAAAUGCGCAGAUAUCAGGAGGAACACCGGUGGCGAAGGCGGGUCUCUGGGCCGAUACUGACGCUGAGGAGCGAAAGCGUGGGGAGCGAACAGG